UGGGGAAUAUUGGACAAUGGGGGGAACCCUGAUCCAGCAAUGCCGCGUGUGUGAAGAAGGCCUGAGGGUUGUAAAGCACUUUCAGUGGGGAGGAGGGUUGAACGGUUAAGAGCUGAUUGACUGGACGUUACCCACAGAAGAAGCACCGGCUAACUCCGUGCCAGCAGCCGCGGUAAUACGGAGGGUGCGAGCGUUAAUCGGAAUUACUGGGCGUAAAGGGUGCGUAGGUUGUUGUGUAAGUUAUCUGUGAAAUUCCUGGGCUUAACCUGGGCAGGUCAGAUAAGACUGCAUGACUAGAGUAUGGGAGAGGGUAGUGGAAUUUCCGGUGUAGCGGUGAAAUGCGUAGAGAUCGGAAGGAACACCAGUGGCGAAGGCGGCUACCUGGCCUAAUACUGACACUGAGGCACGAAAGCGUGGGGAGCAAACA
RNAcentral lists this ribosomal RNA (427 nucleotides) under uncultured Legionella sp. RNAcentral describes it as "partial 16S ribosomal RNA". It matches the Rfam family "Bacterial small subunit ribosomal RNA", at positions 355 to 774 of the family's 1533-position model. Lineage: Bacteria; Pseudomonadati; Pseudomonadota; Gammaproteobacteria; Legionellales; Legionellaceae. The record is from RNAcentral.